RNAcentral lists this ribosomal RNA (417 nucleotides) under uncultured Cryptophyta. Its description in RNAcentral is "SSU rRNA". It matches the Rfam family "Eukaryotic small subunit ribosomal RNA", at positions 937 to 1357 of the family's 1831-position model. The record is from RNAcentral. Lineage: Eukaryota; Cryptophyceae.
AAACUGUUGCGAAAGCAUUCGGCAAGGAUGUUUCUUGAUCAAGAACGAAAGUAGGGGAUCGAAGACGAUCAAAUACCGUCGUAGUCUUAACCUUAAACUAUGCCGACUAGGGAUCAGUGGAUGUCAAUUUGCGACUCCAUUGGCACCUUGUGAGAAAUCAAAGUUUUUGGGUUCCGGGGGGAGUAUGGUCGCUAGGCUGAAAUUUAAAGGAAUUGACGGAAGGGCACUACCAGGAGUGGAGCCUGCGGCUUAAUUUGACUCAACACGGGGAAACUUACCAGGUCCAGACAUAGUAAGGAUUGACAGAUUGAAAGCUCUUUCUUGAUUCUAUGGGUGGUGGUGCAUGGCCGUUUUUAGUUGGUGGAGUGAUUUGUCUGGUUUAUUCCGUUAACGAACGAGACCUCAGCCUGCUAACUA